UUCUGACCGUUCUAUUGCUGCUGUGGUAGAAGAUCACUAUUCUUCCUUUAAAUCUAUUAACUAUGGUGUUCCUCAGGGCUCUGUCUUAUCACCCACUCUCUUCUUAUUAUUCUCCAGUGACCUAAACCAAACUUCUUGUCUUAUCCACUCCUACACUGAUGAUACCACCCUGCACUUUUCUACAUCUUUUGUAGAAGUCCAACCCUUCAGGAAGUAAAGAGUUCAUGCAGGGAAGCCACAGAAGACCUGACUUCUGAUCUCUCUAAAAUUUCUGAUUGGGGCAGAGCAAACUUAGUGUUAUUCAAUGCCUCAAAAACUCAAUUCCUCCACCUAUCAACUUGACACAACCUUCCAGAUAACUAUCCCAUCUUCAGUGACACUUAACUGUCCCCCUUUCUAAACUGAAUAUCCUUGGUCUGUCCUUUUCUUAUAAUCUAAACUGGAAAUUUCACAUCACAUCCCUAGCUAAAACAGCUCUUAUGAAAUUAGAUGUUCUGAGACAUCUUCACCAGUUUUUCUCAUCCCCCCCCAACUGCUAACUCUGUACAGGGGCCUUAUCUGUCCAUGUAUGCUUUACAUGUCUGGGGGGGUUCCACUUGUACUGCUCAUCUAGACAUUAUGGAAUCAAAAGCUUUUUGUCUCAUCAGCUCCUCUCCUCUAACUGACUGUCUUCAGCCGGUUUCUCAUCACUGCAAUGUUGCAUCUCUUGCUAUCAUCUACUGCCGUUUUCAUGCUAACUGCUUUUCUAAUCUUACUAACUGCAUGCCUCCCCUCCUCUGACGGCCUCGCUGCACAAGACUUUCUUCUUUCUUUCACCCCCUAUUAUUUUCACCUCUCUAAUGCAAGAGUUAACCAGUAUUCUCAAUCAUUCAUUCCUUUCUCUGGUAAACUCUGGAACUCCCUGCCUGCUUCUGUCUUUCCACCUUCCUAUGACUUGAAUUCCUUCAAGAAGGAGGUUUCAAGACACUUAUCCUUCAAUUUUUGACUGCUGCUUUGGACCCUUUUAUGGGACUGGCAUCUCAGUGGGUCUUUUUAUUUUUUGGUGUGGGGAGGGGGAGGGUUGUUGCCCUUGGCCAGUGUCCCUCCUACUUGAAAAAAUAAAUAAAUAAAAAUAUCACCAGCCAUAUCUUCCCAACACAAAUACUGACAACAGCCCCUGUGUCAGGCUGUGUGUACCAGAUGAGGCCGUGUCAAUGCUCACCUUUGAGAACGUCAUAUUUGAGGCGCCAGACGUGAGACAGCAACUCAUAGCCAAGGUUGCUGUCGUCUCCGCUAGCUGGACUGGUGGUGUAUCCCUCACAUCUGGUCAUCAAGGAGUACCCCAUGGUCAAGUCCUUGCACACCGAUCUGUUCUGAUGGAAGCAGUUGGAGGGUGUGGAGGAUGUGCACAAGGAUGGCCAAGGAAAUCCUUCUCAAAUACCCAGAGAUCCUCCAUGCCGCCCACCCCUUCUUCCUCUCCCUCAAGUUUGUGGGUGCUGGUGGCUCUCUCCUGGAUGGAGCAGUUUUUGUGGAUCUAUUUACCCAAGAACAACUUGUCAACAAUUCCUGUAGAUGUCGUCAUCAGUGAGGUCAGUGUUAGAUACCAACUUGCUGCUCAGGUGUCUGUUGUACCUGCUGGCUGGCAUCUCCACUUUGUCUCUCCUGGUAACCAAGUCUGUAUGUGCUUGGUGGUGUAUCCUGAAAAUUUAAAGAUCCAGGAGAACUCUGUCACCAAGAACCUGCAAAUGAAUGUCAUUGGGUGGCUGAUGGCAGCUCCUCAAGUGAACCCAGAGAUCACUGGGCUAAUAAAGUACAGUAUGAUGGGUGCCUUGGAGAAGCUGUGCCUUGAGUUGAAGGCUGCAGUCACCUUCAGAAAAGAGCAAAGCUGCAACAAGUCAUCCAAGUACUUUGUCAAGAAGGUUUAUGUUGAAGGCAACCUCCUGCACUGCUCUCAGGAGAACAGUGGGACUCAUGGAUGCCUCCAAGACCCACAGAGGAUUGGAAGGCAUAAAUUCAAUCUUGGAUAACUAUUGACAUUUAAAACUGGCAGGUCAAGUUGGGCGAUACAAGUGUGUGCUGGAAGGAAGCUGUCAUCUGCUGGCUUUUGGAUUAUCAACUUGGAAGCCUGGAAGUGAUAGAAACAAGGAAGAGGAGAAGAUAGAUGAUAAUAAGGAGGGAAGAAAGAGAAAGAGAGAGAGAGAAGACAACAAAGAAGGAAGAGGACAUGAGAGAAGAAUGAGGUUAAUAGAAGAGGAAGAAAAAAAGAAGAAAUGAGAGAAAGAUAGAAAAGAUAAAUAAAAGAAAAAUAAAUCCUCCCCCUGCCCCCCUUUCUCUCUCUCUCUCUCUCUCUCUCUCUCUCUCUCUCUCUCUCUCUCUCUCUCUCUCUCUCUCUCUCUCUCUCUCACAAUCCACAGACCCACAGUAUGUCUCCCACAGUAUGUUGACAAACCCAGUCACUCCCCACAGCCUCUCACAAAUCUCUCUCUCUCUCUCUCUCCAUGCCUAAGAGAGGAACCUGGUCAGUCCCUGUGAGAAAUUUUGCAACAUUUUCUGUUCAAGCAAGAGUUCAUGAAAGACUUCCCAAACAGUACAAAUGACUGGAUGGUCUGGGAAGUAUUCACUCUGGAAAUACAGUGAGGGGUUAAUGAAAGGAAGAAUAUUGGAAAAUGUGUGUUAAUUUAGAUUCCUGUGGUGUGUGGAUGGAAGGACUGGGUGAAUAUAGACGGCAGAAGAGGUGAGGAGUGUAUGCUAACUAAAGGCAGGAAGUGAAGGACUGGAUAAAUAUUAGACAGAAGAGGUGAUAGAAGCAAUGGACUAGAUAUACAGAGAUAAG
RNA transcript from Scylla paramamosain (green mud crab), 2812 nucleotides. RefSeq lists it as uncharacterized. The transcript is spliced from 8 exons. NCBI's taxonomy places the organism in Eukaryota, Metazoa, Arthropoda, Malacostraca, Decapoda, Portunidae. The record is from RefSeq and is a predicted model, not a curated record.